GGGUUUUUGGGGUGGCAAUGUUCAUUGUUUCGUGGCGUGGUUGAGAGUUGUCAUAAACAGUUUGGAUCAGGAGAACUUAUGCAAUGCAUUGAUGAUUGCAUGGGUAUUUGGGAUAGCAGGAAUAAGCGUACUUGGAAGCAAUCAGUGUUAAAUCCAAGCCAUGUUGUUCAAAAUUCUUGCCGUUUCUUGUUACGAUGGAGAGAUGCUCAGCAGCUUUAUGUGGUACAACAUAUAUCCAACCAGUGUACAUCAGGCUAAAUGGUCGGUACCAAAUCUUGGAAGACUGAAGAGUAAUUUUGUUGCUGCAUUUAG
RNAcentral lists this unclassified non-coding RNA (312 nucleotides) under Hevea brasiliensis (rubber tree). The record is from RNAcentral. Lineage: Eukaryota; Viridiplantae; Streptophyta; Magnoliopsida; Malpighiales; Euphorbiaceae.